Molecule: transfer RNA, 73 nt
Filed under: Botrychium lunaria (moonwort)
Lineage: Eukaryota; Viridiplantae; Streptophyta; Polypodiopsida; Ophioglossales; Ophioglossaceae
Also listed under: 7 other names
Description: tRNA-Ala
Rfam family: tRNA
About the family: Transfer RNA (tRNA) molecules are approximately 80 nucleotides in length. Their secondary structure includes four short double-helical elements and three loops (D, anti-codon, and T loops).
Source: RNAcentral
GGGGAUAUAGCUCAGUUGGUAGAGCUUCGCUUUUGCAAGGCGAAAGUCAGCGGUUCGAAUCCGCUUGUCUCCA